Long non-coding RNA from Clupea harengus (Atlantic herring), 1449 nucleotides. The record is from Ensembl. NCBI's taxonomy places the organism in Eukaryota, Metazoa, Chordata, Actinopteri, Clupeiformes, Clupeidae.
UUUACAUUUUUCUUGGGAAAUGUUUAUCAAUGUACACUGUCCCUUUUCAAAUAAACGCAUAAACAUAAACAAACAUGUUCAAAUGACUAGCUGCCCCUUUCAUGUGUCUGCAGAUGUGGCCAAGAGGGAGAUGGGAGGGAGAACGUUCUUGACCCUCUCACUGAUAGUUACCGUGUGCUACAUCAGAUGAUGCAAAAGCAGGCUCAAAUCAAGGGGUUUGUUGAGACCGCUCAGGCUGCAGACGAGGACAGGAGGCUGCUUCUGGAACACUUGGCUGAGGUGGAGAACGAGAGAGCAUCAAUCGUCCAGAUGCGCAAGCAAGUUGAAGCCUACGGAAAGGUACCGGCCCAGGUCACUGAGGUUCACCCUGAGGUGCGGGACCCUGAGGACCACAACGUUACCAUGGAGAUGGUCUUUGACAACAAUAGCAAUUCUAACCAGAGUACUGACCAGAGUGCUGACCAGAGUACUGACUAUGCGUUGGAGUUCCACAGACUUCACGACCUGAUUAUGACCAAGUGUCGGGAGAUGGAAGACACUUUCCUGAAGCCCAGACGACUUCAGUGUGUGGAGCCUGAGACAACACAGCAUUUUGACUCUGACACUAACGCUAAUGUAACAGAGUUACAUUCUGCAUACUGGAAGAGAAAGUAAAGUGGCUAAAAGAACUUCAGCGUCCUGUAAUAAUUGCACCUGAACACAACGCAGUAGCCGGCGAAGUACAGACCACGCCGGCUACACUAACACUAAUGUCAGCUCUAAGGAUGGUUCUGACCCCAUCAAGGAGAAGGUCCUGUUGGGCACGACGGUUCAGCAGCACCAACCCUGCCAGGCCAUGCCCUCAGUUGAUGAGGUAAUACACACCCUAAUCCACCCAGAUUACGUGUGGCAUCAAUGCAUUUCAGACUGCAAUGUACACCGGUAACCUGAUGACGUCAGUGCAUUGAUUUCCAGGUACCUGACCAGGUCACUGAGCUUCACCCUGAGCCUCCAGAGGACCUCUGUGCAAAAGAUCCUACUACACAGCCCAUUUGGAGAACACCUCAGCCCGAACGGCACAACUAUGUCAACAAGCUGAAAUCCUUAAAUGACAUCUCAAAAGUUAAGGACUACGUCACCAACGAGGUUUUUAAGCUCUGUGGCCUAAAGCAAGACAUAAACGCUGAGGCUUAUGGGAAGGUUUCUGCCCACAACUUCAAAAGCUUCAACCUGAGGACAUUCGAUCGCAUCUUGUUGAAAGAAAUGUCCGUGGAGGAACACCAGUGGCAGGACCACGACAAAGAGGUCUAUGACAAAUAUGCCACCGCUGUUUUUGACCACUUGAUGGACGACACCUUUAAGUGUUUGCUCGCCCUUUCAGGAAAGAGAACCAAGAACACUUAAAAAGUUUAGGUCCUAAACCCUUUCCCUCCCCCACCCCACUAUUGCCUACAUUAAAGUUUCAUCGCA